CAGCAGCCGCGGUAAUACGUAGGUCCCGAGCGUUGUCCGGAUUUAUUGGGCGUAAAGCGAGCGCAGGCGGUUAGAUAAGUCUGAAGUUAAAGGCUGUGGCUUAACCAUAGUACGCUUUGGAAACUGUUUAACUUGAGUGCAAGAGGGGAGAGUGGAAUUCCAUGUGUAGCGGUGAAAUGCGUAGAUAUAUGGAGGAACACCGGUGGCGAAGGCGACUCUCUGGUCUGUAACUGACGCUGAGGAGCGAAAGCGUGGGGAGCGAACAGGAUUAGAUACCCGUGUAGUCCCUGUCUCUUAUACA
RNAcentral lists this ribosomal RNA (301 nucleotides) under uncultured bacterium. RNAcentral's name for it is "partial 16S ribosomal RNA". It matches the Rfam family "Bacterial small subunit ribosomal RNA", at positions 509 to 808 of the family's 1533-position model. The record is from RNAcentral.